This is a long non-coding RNA of Suricata suricatta (meerkat), 2047 nucleotides long. RefSeq lists it as uncharacterized. Lineage: Eukaryota; Metazoa; Chordata; Mammalia; Carnivora; Herpestidae. The transcript has 5 exons. The record is from RefSeq and is a predicted model, not a curated record.
AGGCCGGCCUUGUUCUCUGCGCUAGGGUGGCAGGGUCCCCGGGCUGCCCCUAAGCCCUCCCCCCUGAGCUCCAGGGCUGCCAACCUGAUUGGGGGCCCAAGAGUAGCCACCACUAACCCUGAGGGCGUCCCCCGCCCCUCAAACAGCCUGGGGGUGCGUGCCAGAGGGCAACAGACAAUCAGACUGUGUUCCUCCUCCCCAGUUCGAACUGGAUUUCCCUCCUCGAGCCCCAGCCUGCCAGGCAUGACUUUCGCCUUCGGCCCCGGUCCACCCCUCACCUCGCGACGGUCGGGGGUCCUCACGCCAGGCCGGAGCUGGACACCAUGACCAGGAGGUCCAGAGAACCGUGUUUGGCGGAGUGAGUGAGAGCCGCGUUGGAAGAGGUCUGUGAAAUGUGGUACACGAAUGUACACACGCAACCCUAUCGCGGAACACAAUUUACUUUGCGGCUGGAGGCGGACGCAGAGCGAGGGGGCGGCGCCAGGGCUGCAGAUUAUCGAGGAUCACUUCGUCAAGAGAUUAGGACGAACGUCUCCUCCUGCUGAGACUCCUCACCAGCCCCAGACGAACGGGAGGAAUUCAGGACUGAAGAACAGUUCUUGGGAAGAGAGUCUAUCCCCUGAAGCAAUGGACAACCCAAGAAAGGGUUAACGUUGAGCCCUACAGUGACUUCAAUCAUUGGCUCAGAGCACUGUCAAUCGGAGUUCUGGGGCGGGGUUUUCGUGGCCGCCUUCAGACUGCCCAGGGCCCCUCACUUGCCCCUAGACCCCCACAUCACUUCACUUCUGGGCUGCGCCCACACCCCUGUCUUGGUGGAGACACCUUCCUGGGCCUGGAGGAAGAGCGGAUCCGAGUGUCCUGGCUUCCCUACUCCUUCCAGCUGCCUGGCUUCCUGAUAGAUGUCUUGCAGAUUGCGGGCAGACUUAACUCCUAGCGUGCCAGCCCGGUGGACUCGGAGGUGGUGACGCUGGAAAGGAGGGGACUCCGGACCCCACUCCCACCGCUGUUUAACACCUUGUGGCCCGGAACGCAGUCUCGGGAUCCAGGCUGGUCAGAGCCCUGGAAGGCUGCCUGGUAUUCGAGGAGAGAGACACAAAACCCGGCACCCUAGAGCUGCGGGACCUGGCCCAUUCGGCUGCCAAGUCUUCACUGUCUACACUCCCGCCAGCCCGGUCCUCUGUGUCUCUGCCUCCACUCUUCGGCCACCCUGCCCCCACCGCCCGACCCACUAGUCGUUACAAAGGUCCCCGGCCGACAGAAGGCUCCGGCGAACCCGGAAGUCUGGCCUCUGCGGCUGCCCCAGCGCUCUCCGCAUCCUCUGCGAGGCCCGGCGCGGGUGACCACAACCCACGCCUCCUUUGCCUCCAGGGGCCUCCUUCGCCUCUCGGUGGAGGCAGCUCCCCGACCGAGGCAGGGAAUGUAGCCUCCGCCAGCUCCGGCUGGGACAAGGGCCGGAGUAACUGGAAACCCUGACGUGACCUCCACCCUAGCCCCUCUGACAGCACCCCCCUCCACCAUCAGAUUUGCCUUCCAAGGCGGCCCUGAAGGACUCCGCCCGAGGACAGCAGCCGGCCAGGCGGGAAGGGGUUAACGGAGCUCGCCGCCUGCGUGAGAGAGCCAGCCCAUCUACUUAUUCAAAACCCAUUUUUGAGGACCUACUAUGCGCUGGGCACUGGAUGAGAUGACGCGUACCUGUGGAAGAUCAAGACAUGCGUCGCCCUCCGAGCCGGCAGUCUAGUUGGGGACAGAUGAGUGAACAAACGAUGUCAGUCCAGGGUCAUGAAGCCUCGGAGCACCUCAGAGAGACACCCAUCCUGGACUUGGGGGCCUGGAAAGUUCCCCGCUUAGGAGCCCCACCUGGGCUGAGAGGUGCUCUAGCCGGAGGUGAGGUUCCGCCCAGGUGGCCUAAAGACAACCGAAUUCCAGCACCGGAUCUCACCAGACCUUAUGAGGGAGGAGGGGUUCUCUGAAGCUGCAUUCCCAAACCAUUUCUUUCUGUAAGAUUUUUUCUGACUUUUUAAAAACUUUAUUUUUUAAGAGCCCACAA